Molecule: ribosomal RNA, 1361 nt
Filed under: uncultured bacterium
Lineage: Bacteria
Description: bacterial SSU rRNA
Rfam family: Bacterial small subunit ribosomal RNA
Source: RNAcentral
AUCCUGGCUCAGGACGAACGCUGGCGGCGUGCUUAACACAUGCAAGUCGAGCGGAAAGGCCCUUCGGGGUACUCGAGCGGCGAACGGGUGAGUAACACGUGAGUAACCUACCUCGAACUCUGGGAUAAGCCUGGGAAACUGGGUCUAAUACCGGAUGUUCAUCUCCUGCUGCAUGGUGGGGGAUGGAAAGUGUUUAGCGGUUCGGGAUGGGCUCGCGGCCUAUCAGCUUGUUGGUGAGGUAAUGGCUUACCAAGGCUUUUACGGGUAGCCGGCCUGAGAGGGCGACCGGCCACACUGGGACUGAGAUACGGCCCAGACUCCUACGGGAGGCAGCAGUGGGGAAUAUUGCGCAAUGGGCGGAAGCCUGACGCAGCAACGCCGUGUGAGGGAUGACGGCCUUCGGGUUGUAAACCUCUUUCACCAGGGACGAAGCUUUUGUGACGGUACCUGGGGAAGAAGCGCCGGCCAACUACGUGCCAGCAGCCGCGGUAACACGUAGGGCGCGAGCGUUGUCCGGAAUUAUUGGGCGUAAAGGGCUCGUAGGCGGUUUGUCGCGUCAAAAGUGAAAAUCCGGGGCUCAACUCCAGACUUGCUUUCGAUACGGGCAGGCUAGAGGUAGGCAGGGGAGAAUGGAAUUCCUGGUGUAGCGGUGGAAUGCGCAGAUAUCAGGAGGAACACCGGUGGCGAAGGCGGGUUCUCUGGGCCUUACCUGACGCUGAGGAGCGAAAGCGUGGGGAGCGAACAGGAUUAGAUACCCUGGGUAGUCCACGCUGUAAACGUUGGGCGCUAGGUGUGGGAGUCUUUUGUGACGUCCGUGCCGUAGCUAACGCAUUAAGCGCCCCCCCCUGGGGAGUACGGUCGCAAGACUAAAACUCAAAGGAAUUGACGGGGGCCCGCACAAGCGGCGGAGCAUGUUGCUUAAUUCGAGGCAACGCGAAGAACCUUACCUGGGUUUGACAUGUGGGUUAAUCCGGCAGAGAUGUCGGGUCCUUUUGGGAACUCAUGCAGGUGGUGCAUGGCUGUCGUCAGCUCGUGUCGUGAGAUGUUGGGUUAAGUCCCGCAACGAGCGCAACCCUCGUCCUAUGUUGCCAGCACGUUAUGGUGGGGACUCAUAGGAGACUGCCGGGGUCAACUCGGAGGAAGGUGGGGAUGAUGUCAAGUCUUCAUGCCCCUUAUGUCCAGGGCUGCAAACAUGCUACAAUGGUCGGUACAAUGGGCUGCGAGACCGUGAGGUGGAGCGAAUCCCUAAAAGCCGGCCUCAGUUCGGAUCGGGGUCUGCAACUCGACCCCGUGAAGUGGAGUCGCUAGUAAUCGCGGAUCAGCAACGCCGCGGUGAAUACGUUCCCGGGCCUUGUACUCAC